CCUACGGGGGGCAGCAGUGGGGAAUAUUGGACAAUGGGGGCAACCCUGAUCCAGCCAUGCCGCGUGUGUGAAGAAGGCCCUCGGGUUGUAAAGCACUUUCAGUGAGGAAGAACGCCUGGUGGUUAAUACCCAUCAGGAAAGACAUCACUCACAGAAGAAGCACCGGCUAACUCCGUGCCAGCAGCCGCGGUAAUACGGAGGGUGCGAGCGUUAAUCGGAAUUACUGGGCGUAAAGCGCGCGUAGGUGGCUUGAUAAGCCGGUUGUGAAAGCCCCGGGCUCAACCUGGGAACGGCAUCCGGAACUGUCGAGCUAGAGUGCAGGAGAGGAAGGUAGAAUUCCCGGUGUAGCGGUGAAAUGCGUAGAGAUCGGGAGGAAUACCAGUGGCGAAGGCGGCCUUCUGGACUGACACUGACACUGAGGUGCGAAAGCGUGGGUAGCAAACAGGAUUAGAUACCCGAGUAGUC
RNAcentral lists this ribosomal RNA (465 nucleotides) under Vreelandella stevensii. RNAcentral describes it as "partial 16S ribosomal RNA". It matches the Rfam family "Bacterial small subunit ribosomal RNA", at positions 338 to 795 of the family's 1533-position model. The record is from RNAcentral. Lineage: Bacteria; Pseudomonadati; Pseudomonadota; Gammaproteobacteria; Oceanospirillales; Halomonadaceae.